AGUAAAUAGAUACCCCGGUAGUCCACGCCCUAAACGAUGUCGACUGGUUGUUGGGGGUUUGACACUCUCAGUAAACGAAAGCUAAACGCGUGAAAGUCGACCGCCUGGGGAGUACGGCCGCAAGGUUAAAACUCAAAGGAAUUGACGGGGACCCGCACAAGCGGUGGAUUAUGUGGAUUAAUUCGAUGCAACGCGAAAAACCUUACCUACCCUCGACAUGUCCGGGAGCCUGCUGAGAGGCGGGUGUGCUCGAAAGAGAACCGGAACACAGGUGCUGCAUGGCUGUCGUCAGCUCGUGUCGUGAGAUGUUGGGUUAAGUCCCGCAACGAGCGCAACCCUUGCCAUUAGUUGCCACCCGUAAGGGGGCACUCUAAUGGGACUGCCGGUGACAAACCGGAGGAAGUGGGGAUGACGUCAAGUCCUCAUGGCCCUUAUGGGUAGGGCUUCACACGUAAUACAAUGGCGCGUACAGAGGGUUGCCAAGGAGCGAUCUGGAGCCAAUCCCGUAAAGCGCGUCGUAGUCCGGAUUGCAGUCUGCAACUCGACUGC
This 549-nucleotide ribosomal RNA is filed under the name uncultured bacterium. RNAcentral's name for it is "bacterial SSU rRNA". It matches the Rfam family "Bacterial small subunit ribosomal RNA", at positions 774 to 1319 of the family's 1533-position model. The record is from RNAcentral.